UGCCCCUGAAAAUGAACAAAGACACACCUCAUUGGUGGUUUUGCUCUUGUAUCAGUCAGUGGUAAAGCUGAUGAUCCUUUGUUCGACAUAGCUUGAUGUCUGGAUUGGUGGCAAAGCUAUUUCAUGCUUGGGGAACACUU
Suncus etruscus (white-toothed pygmy shrew) is the source of this 140-nucleotide small nucleolar RNA. RefSeq annotates it as small nucleolar RNA SNORA48. The transcript has a single exon. Lineage: Eukaryota; Metazoa; Chordata; Mammalia; Eulipotyphla; Soricidae. The record is from RefSeq and is a predicted model, not a curated record.